Molecule: ribosomal RNA, 254 nt
Filed under: uncultured bacterium
Lineage: Bacteria
Description: partial 16S ribosomal RNA
Rfam family: Bacterial small subunit ribosomal RNA
Source: RNAcentral
UACGUAGGGUGCGAGCGUUGUCCGGAAUUAUUGGGCGUAAAGAGCUCGUAGGCGGUGUGUCACGUCGGCCGUGAAAACCUGGGGCUUAACUCUGGGCGUGCGGUCGAUACGGGCAUCACUAGAGUUCGGCAGGGGAGACUGGAAUUCCUGGUGUAGCGGUGAAAUGCGCAGAUAUCAGGAGGAACACCGGUGGCGAAGGCGGGUCUCUGGGCCGUAACUGACGCUGAGGAGCGAAAGCGUGGGGAGCGAACAGG